This 422-nucleotide ribosomal RNA is filed under the name Fusobacteriota bacterium. RNAcentral's name for it is "Fusobacteria bacterium partial 16S ribosomal RNA". It matches the Rfam family "Bacterial small subunit ribosomal RNA", at positions 355 to 776 of the family's 1533-position model. The record is from RNAcentral. Lineage: Bacteria; Fusobacteriati; Fusobacteriota.
UGGGGGAUUUUGCACAAUGGGCGCAAGCCUGAUGCAGCGACGCCGCGUGAGGGAUGAAGGCCUUCGGGUUGUAAACCUCUUUCGCUGGGUUGAAAGGCCAUGCUUUGGGCGUGGUUGAUUUGAACUGGUAAAGAAGUACCGGCUAACUACGUGCCAGCAGCCGCGGUAAUACGUAGGGUACUAGCGUUGUCCGGAAUUAUUGGGCGUAAAGGGCUUGUAGGUGGUUUGUCGCGUCUGUCGUGAAAUCCUGUGGCUUAACCAUGGGCUUGCGGUGGGUACGGGCAGGCUUGAGUGCGGUAGGAGGGACUGGGAUUCCUGGUGUAGCGGUGAAAUGCGCAGAUAUCAGGAGGAACACCGGUGGCGAAGGCGGGUCUCGGGGCCGUUACUGACACUAAGGAGCGAAAGCGUGGGGAGCGAACAGG